RNAcentral lists this unclassified non-coding RNA (343 nucleotides) under soil metagenome. RNAcentral's name for it is "partial contains 5.8S ribosomal RNA, internal transcribed spacer 2, and large subunit ribosomal RNA". The stretch from base 1 to 120 matches the Rfam family "5.8S ribosomal RNA", at positions 35 to 154 of the family's 154-position model. The record is from RNAcentral.
GAUGAAGAACGUAGCGAAAUGCGAUAAGUAAUGUGAAUUGCAGAAUUCAGUGAAUCAUCGAAUCUUUGAACGCACAUUGCGCCCGCUAGUAUUCUGGCGGGCAUGCCUGUCCGAGCGUCAUUUCAACCCUCAAGCCCCCGGGCUUGGUGUUGGGGAUCGGCGAGCCUCCGCGCCCGCCGUCCCCUAAAUCUAGUGGCGGUCUCGCUGUUGCUUCCUCUGCGUAGUAGCACACCUCGCACUGGGAAACAGCGCGGCCACGCCGUUAAACCCCCAACUUCUGAACGUUUGACCUCGGAUCAGGUAGGAAUACCCGCUGAACUUAAGCAUAUCAAUAAGCGGAGGA